GACGAACGCUGGCGGCGUGCUUAACACAUGCAAGUCGAACGGAAAGGCCCUGCUUUUGUGGGGUGCUCGAGUGGCGAACGGGUGAGUAACACGUGAGUAACCUGCCCUUGACUUUGGGAUAACUUCAGGAAACUGGGGCUAAUACCGGAUAGGAGCUCCUGCUGCAUGGUGGGGGUUGGAAAGUUUCGGCGGUUGGGGAUGGACUCGCGGCUUAUCAGCUUGUUGGUGGGGUAGUGGCUUACCAAGGCUUUGACGGGUAGCCGGCCUGAGAGGGUGACCGGCCAAAUUGGGACUGAGAUACGGCCCAGAAUACUACGGGAGGCAGCAGUGGGGAAUAUUGCACAAUGGGAGGAAGCCUGAUGCAGCAACGCAGCGUGCGGGAUGACGGCCUUCGGGUUGUAAACCGCUUUCGCCUGUGACGAAGCGUGAGUGACGGUAAUGGGUAAAGAAGCACCGGCUAACUACGUG
RNAcentral lists this ribosomal RNA (468 nucleotides) under uncultured bacterium. RNAcentral describes it as "partial 16S ribosomal RNA". It matches the Rfam family "Bacterial small subunit ribosomal RNA", at positions 28 to 507 of the family's 1533-position model. The record is from RNAcentral.